RNAcentral lists this long non-coding RNA (678 nucleotides) under Marmota monax (woodchuck). The record is from RNAcentral. Lineage: Eukaryota; Metazoa; Chordata; Mammalia; Rodentia; Sciuridae.
GACACAUGAGUCUUAUAGGUAUUUUGAACAUUAGAUGUCACUGAUGGCAGAUUUAAUGAUGUAUCAUCAUAAAUUCCUAUUUUAGUAAGUAAUAAAACAUUUUAUAUUUUAAAUUUGGUCUUUUUGUUAAAUGUACCUGACCCAAAAUCUAAUUUGUGAAAGUAGGACUCUUCAGCACUGGUUUUCAUGUUACUAUAUUGGUAUUUUAUGUAUUAACUGGUAAGAACUGAAAGCAUAUAAUAAUAACCACAACAACAACUAAAGCAAGUGUUAAUUAGAGGAAGAAUGAGGGAGACAGGCAUGUGAUGAUAUAAGUAUAGGUAAUAGUAUGGAACUGAGUACAGUUGAAGAGAGGAAAAGUGUGUCUUCGUCAUUCCCUUGCCUUUCCUUAGAGCUUUUCUUUCCAUUAAGCUCCCUUAAAACAAGAUACUCAUUCCCUGUUCUUCACAGUGCACUCCCUGUCUGAAAGAUAGAGAUUUGUAUAUGGGCAACCUGAAAAGGUGGCCUUUAAAAAAAAAAAAAAAAAAUUAACUUUUUUUUUUUUUUUAGUUAUUGAUAGACCUUUAUUUAAUUUAUUUAUUUAUACGUGGGGCUGGGAAUUGAACCCAGUGCCCACACAUGCCAGGCAAGUGUGCUACUGCUGAACCCCAGCCCCUUAAAAAAUUAAUUAGAUUUUUG